Long non-coding RNA from Oncorhynchus tshawytscha (Chinook salmon), 1152 nucleotides. RefSeq lists it as uncharacterized. The record is from RefSeq and is a predicted model, not a curated record. The transcript has 4 exons. Lineage: Eukaryota; Metazoa; Chordata; Actinopteri; Salmoniformes; Salmonidae.
CAGCACGGCCAGAUGGACUGGGGACAGCAAAGAGUCAUCAGGCCAGGUAGUCCUGAGGCAUGGUCCUCAGGACUAUGAGUCAGAAACAUUUAUUUUAGUAUCAAAAUUGACUACAAAGUGUACAUAAGGCCAUAUGUCCACUCCGCCCACUUCGCCUACCUUCAUUGAAUGGGGCUCCCCAACCAACACGUUCAAAGGAUCACGGCAGUUUGAGACUGAAAAGACUUAAACGGAUUGACCAUGCAACGCAUGCUUCCAGCAAGAUGCACAGCCAACAACUAUGGUUUGCAUGCCCUGCCGAAGGACCCUAUCAUGCGGAAUAGGUGGCUGGAGUUUGUUGGUCCCCAGUGAUGUAUAGAGACCAGCAAGGGGGCCCUCGCUGUGAGCAUUCCAAUUGCAAGUAUCCGGCCAGCAACCUUCACCUGUCUGCGGCAUCAUUUGUAAACAAUACAGAAGAUGCAUAUAAUGUCCGGAGCAUAACCUAGCUUGGUAGAACAAGAUUGAUCUGAAGUGAAAUAGAAAGAUGAACGCAACGAUCAGGUUGGUUUCACCAGGCUAAUCAUAAUCAGUGCUGUGUGUGUGUGUGUGCGUGUGACCGACCAGUAUCUUUGAUGAGGGGCCAGGAUCUGAUCUACGCUGCUAUGCCCAUCAAAGGGGCUCUGGCAAAUACCUCACUUCCAGCCUCACCUCUUACCUGCUCACCAACGGUCGUUGAUGGGGAGAACAGCAUUAGAAACAUGUAUGGGGCCAGGACAUGGAGACUUGCAAGAUGAUGUGAUGAAGUCCAGACUGACAGAUGGGCUUGAUACUGAUGUCUCUGAAAGGAGAGAGAGCUUACACUCUGCAUAAACAUUUUUACUAGAAACAACUUUGACUUGUAUUGUCUUUUUUAAUUAGUCACAGUGUCUGUAUCGGCUGGGAAUGACAAUGAAAGGUGUUCAUUGUUAUGUUAGCAGAACACUGCUUCUAUGGUAUUAUGUAAAGUUUUUUUUAUUCCACAUCUUUCUGCUACUACAUUUAAAAGUUAUCAAAACACUUAGCUUAAAAUAACAAUUGCAUUCUUCUCAUAUUACUCUGUAGGCUACUGACCUAUUCAAAGUUUCCUCCGGCAUCUCAUCAUACAUCUGUAGUUGUUGAACUCGCCCUCUAGGA